CAUUUUCGAUUUUUUUUUCCUCACGGUUAAUUUGGCGAUCCGCUUUCGCGUGGAGACGGGCUAUAUCACGGGGCCCGGGGAAAUCGCGUUAAUUGAGUCGAUUAAAAGCCGGAGGUCGAGCACUCUAGACUUUUCUCGAGAAGAGAAAUUGAGUCGCUUCAAGUAAAUUUGCAAUGCAUAACAUGAC
This 187-nucleotide unclassified non-coding RNA is filed under the name Melaleuca subulata. The record is from RNAcentral. Lineage: Eukaryota; Viridiplantae; Streptophyta; Magnoliopsida; Myrtales; Myrtaceae.